This is a long non-coding RNA of Maniola jurtina (meadow brown), 419 nucleotides long. RefSeq lists it as uncharacterized. NCBI's taxonomy places the organism in Eukaryota, Metazoa, Arthropoda, Insecta, Lepidoptera, Nymphalidae. The transcript has 3 exons. The record is from RefSeq and is a predicted model, not a curated record.
UAAAAUAAAAGUAACUAGAGCUGUAGCGAACCGUAUGUAUUCGUUACUGAGUAACGGGUGCGCCAUCUAGUACCGAGUACCGAAUCGUUACUCACAAAUGCAUCUCGUUACUCGCACUUUUCGUCGUAUGACCGUUCCUAUGGUUCCUACACUGUUUCGGUUCACGCAAGUACCGUAGAUACGUGUAUUGAAACGUUUGCUAACCGUAUGUUUUACGCGCAGGCGCGCUCAUUCGGUGAAUUUAAAAACGUACGUUACAAAGGCCGAUGUUUGUUUAGUUUAUUGUUAAAAUUUUAAAAACGUAUGAUUCUGUUAUGGUAUCGUUCAAAUAACCAUAUGAGCUUAUAAUAAGACAGUUAUUUGGAAAUUACAGAAAGAUACUCUAAUUUUAUUUAAUAGUAUAGAUAUUUAACAUAAGC